RNA transcript from Polyodon spathula (Mississippi paddlefish), 2327 nucleotides. It is a transcript of the gene named serine/arginine-rich splicing factor 1, with no coding region annotated. The transcript is spliced from 6 exons. The record is from RefSeq and is a predicted model, not a curated record. NCBI's taxonomy places the organism in Eukaryota, Metazoa, Chordata, Actinopteri, Acipenseriformes, Polyodontidae.
CACUGCUGUCCAUUCCGGGGGUGUUUAAUUUACAGCGGCACCGCAACCCAAGACUCGUUUGCUCGUUAGCAGCGUGUUUGCGUGUUUUUUUGAGGAGUGGUAAGCAGGCCCUAUUUGCUGACUCGGAUGUGCACGCUGUUUAGAAGUUAGCCUCCCCGGCGGUAUCGCUCCGCGCAGCGCACGGCGGCUCAGAAAGAGCAGGACGAGGCGCCAUUUUGAAGGGGGUUGGAAGCGGUGGGAUUGCGGGAAGGAGACGCGCAGGCAACAUUACCCGCUGUCUGGCUCUGCGCUUCACGAUUUAAAACAAACAGCGAAGCAGUUCAUCCUCUCCGCUCAUGUCUGGAGGCGGUGUGAUCCGAGGCCCAGCCGGCAAUAACGAUUGCCGCAUCUACGUGGGGAACCUGCCGCCGGACAUCCGCACCAAGGACAUCGAGGACGUGUUUUACAAGUACGGGGCGAUCCGCGACAUCGACCUGAAGAACCGCCGCGGCGGGCCGCCGUUCGCCUUCGUGGAGUUCGAGGAUCCCAGAGACGCCGAGGACGCAGUGUACGGACGCGAUGGGUACGACUAUGACGGGUACCGCCUGCGAGUUGAGUUUCCUAGAAGCGGCAGGGGCGCUGGCAGAGGCGGCGGCGGAGGAGGAGGGGGCGGAGGAGGUGGUGGUGGGGGAGGAGGAGGGGGCGGAGGUGGAGCACCCCGGGGGAGAUACGGACCUCCGUCCCGGCGCUCCGAGUACAGAGUCAUUGUUUCAGGGCUUCCUCCGAGUGGCAGCUGGCAGGAUCUCAAGGAUCACAUGCGUGAAGCAGGUGAUGUAUGUUAUGCUGACGUUUUCCGAGAUGGGACUGGUGUUGUGGAGUUUGUUCGCAAAGAAGACAUGACCUACGCGGUUCGAAAACUGGAUAACACUAAAUUCAGAUCACAUGAGGGAGAAACCGCGUACAUCCGCGUGAAAGUCGACGGCCCCCGGAGCCCCAGCUACGGAAGAUCUCGCUCCCGGAGCCGAAGCAGGAGCAGGAGCCGGAGCAGAAGCAACAGCCGCAGCCGCAGCUACUCCCCCCGGCGAAGCAGAGGAUCCCCCCGCUACUCCCCCCGCCACAGCCGCUCCCGAUCCCGUACUUAGAAUUAGAGAAGCAGCAUCGGCUUGCUGCUGCUGUUCAGUGGAUCGCUUUGUAAUGACAUUAUCAGACGAGAAGGAUUAAAGAAUGCAUUGGAAUAAAGGAUUGUGAAGCACAAUUCAUUCAAAUUAGGAUUGUCAGAUUGGAGGAGGAUUUGAGGAGGCGCAGUCAGAUCAAUAAUGGAGGCAAUGACCGAAGAUGGUCCUCUGUGCAAACAGACAGUAAAUACCCUGCAAGCUUAAACAAAGUGAUUUGUUUAAUGUCUCUGCAGUACCUUGAUACACACCUCAAAAUGGCACAAGUCUAUGUACCAAUAAGUAGCAUGUUUUAAACAGUAAGUCAGUCUUUGAAGUUGAAUAGUGGCCUGAUCUGUUAACACAUUUGCAUUGGAUUGCUGCACCAUUCACUUGCUUUGGGAGCUGAUCAUUGUCUGGCAUCAUGCGUUGAUGUGUUUUUUGUUUUAGUUAACCAGCCAUAUGAUCUCCUCCCCUAAAUUUGAUCUAUUUUUUUUAAAAACAAAACAAACCCUGUUUGAUUACAGUUCUGAUUCUAACUUGUUGCCUCCUCUUUUUGGUUUUGCUGGUAUUUAAAGGUUUGGAUUGGAGGAGGGGCUCUCCCUGGAUCUCAAUCCUUGGAGCCGGAUCAUUGGAUCAGUUCAUAAUCAGGAUAGGAUAGGGAAGGAUGGAUUCAUGGAGCGGGAUCAAUUUACCGGGAACCGUAGGAGUGGAUUCCCCCCCAACCAAACCGCAUUUUCAUGGAAUUCAAACCCACCCCUCUUUCAAUUGGCUAUUCUAAAAUAAAAUAGUCUCAGUCCCCCCCCCCCCUCCAUUAUUUUUGUUUAUUUUGUAAUUGGUCAGUUUUGGCACACCCCCCACAGAUGCACGGUCAUGGGAUUUUUUUUGGUAAGAGGAGCAAAGCGAGGACCAGGAACCAGGAGCAAUCUCCUUGGAUGGAAUCCGCAUGAGGAGUUUGGUAAAUUUUAAAACGGCGGGCGGGGUGGGGAAGGGAGAAAGUGGGGAGGGAUGGGCUUUUGAGUCAUUCAAGUAAAAUUGGUGCUUUUUUAUUUUUAUAACUUUUUUUUUUUUUUUUUUCCUGAAUUGGCUUCCACCAUUAUUUUAAACAUAACGGGUAAAACAGGUCUUCUAUUGGCAUACAACGAGGCUUCAUUUGUAGUGUUGAUUUAAUUUCACAAUAAAACUCUUGAAAGAAAA